This 450-nucleotide RNase P RNA is filed under the name Gracilimonas sp. RNAcentral describes it as "RNase P RNA component class A". It matches the Rfam family "Bacterial RNase P class A". From Rfam's summary of the family: Ribonuclease P (RNase P) is a ubiquitous endoribonuclease, found in archaea, bacteria and eukarya as well as chloroplasts and mitochondria. Its best characterised activity is the generation of mature 5'-ends of tRNAs by cleaving the 5'-leader elements of precursor-tRNAs. Lineage: Bacteria; Pseudomonadati; Balneolota; Balneolia; Balneolales; Balneolaceae. RNAcentral also lists the same sequence under 1 other name. The record is from RNAcentral.
CAGGAAAGCCGGGUAAUCGCUUGGUACAAUUAUGUGCCGGGAGGAAAGUCCGGACACCAACAAGUACCGCGCUCCCCGAUUCGGUUCAGCCGGCGAAGGGGAGGCUUCCCGUCAGGAAUGGCGGGAUGACAGACAGUGCAACAGAAAACAAACCGCUUCAGCGCGGAGCGCUGAGAAAUUCCAAGCCACAAAUUCCAAUGACCAAAUAGUAAAUUAAACAUUGGAAUUUGAUUUUUGGUGCUUGGAGUUUUCAACGCUCCGCGUUGGAGUCAGGGUGAAAAGGUGAGGUAAGAGCUCACCGCCCCAAAGGCAACAAUGGGGGCACGGCAAACCUCGCGGGGUGCAAGUUCAUGCAGAUGGUAUACGCCACUUGUCGUGACGCCAUCGGGUGGAAUGCGCCAGAUAAAUGAUUACCCCCGACAGAAUCCGGCUUACAGGCUUUCCUGUUGA